RNAcentral lists this ribosomal RNA (486 nucleotides) under uncultured bacterium. RNAcentral's name for it is "bacterial SSU rRNA". It matches the Rfam family "Bacterial small subunit ribosomal RNA", at positions 28 to 509 of the family's 1533-position model. The record is from RNAcentral.
GACGAACGCUGGCGGCGUGCUUAAUACAUGCAAGUCAACUGAACUUGAGAUAGCAAUAUUUUAAGGGAGGUGGCGCACGGGUGAGUAACACGUAGGUAAUCUGCCUUUAGGUCUGACACAACCCCGAGAAAUCGGGGCUAAUAUCAGAUGAUGCAGCGGCUCGACAUCGAGACAGUUGUUAAACCUUCGGGGCCUAAAGAUGAGCCUGCGUCUGAUUAGGUAGUUGGCGGAGUAAAAGCCCACCAAGCCUGCGAUCAGUAGCUGGUCUGAGAGGAUGAUCAGCCACACUGGAACUGAGACACGGGCCCGACUCCUACGGGAGGCAGCAGUAAGGAAUAUUGGUCAAUGGACGAAAGUCUGAACCAGCCAUGCCGCGUGAAGGAUGAAGGUCCUCUGGAUUGUAAACUUCUUUUAUCUGGGAACGAAAAAAGGGAUUCUUUCUCACUUGACGGUACCAGAAGAAUAAGCACCGGCUAACUCCGUGCC